GACGAACGCUGGCGGCGUGCUUAACACAUGCAAGUCGAACGGAAAGGCCCAGCUUUCGUGGGGUAUUAGUGUCGCGAGGGGGUGUAACACAUGUGUGACACCCGCCUUUGACUCUGGGAUAACUUCAGGAAAGUGGGGCUAAUACGGGAUAUGCUGUCCAGCCUCAUGGGGGGGGUUGGGAAGGUUUGGUGGUUGGGGAUGGGCUGGGUGCUCAUCCGCUUGUUGGUGGGGUAGUGGCUUAGCAAGGCUUUGCUGGGUCGGCGGGCUGAGAGGGUGACCGGCCACAUUGGGACUGAGAUACGGGCGAGAGUCCUACGGGAGACAGCAGUGUGGAAUAUUGCACAAUGGACGGAAGCCUGAUGCAGCAAGGCCGCGUUCGGGAUGACGGCCUUCGGGUUGUAAACCGCAUUCGCCUGUGACGAAGCGUGAGUGACGGUAAUGGGUAAAGAAGCGCCGGCUAACUACGUG
RNAcentral lists this ribosomal RNA (468 nucleotides) under uncultured bacterium. RNAcentral's name for it is "partial 16S ribosomal RNA". It matches the Rfam family "Bacterial small subunit ribosomal RNA", at positions 28 to 507 of the family's 1533-position model. The record is from RNAcentral.